RNAcentral lists this ribosomal RNA (402 nucleotides) under uncultured prokaryote. Its description in RNAcentral is "bacterial SSU rRNA". It matches the Rfam family "Bacterial small subunit ribosomal RNA", at positions 355 to 774 of the family's 1533-position model. The record is from RNAcentral.
UAGGGAAUAUUAGAAAUGGACGAAAGUCUGAUCUAGCAACACCGCGUGUGCGAAGAAGGCCUUCGGGUUGUAAAGCACUUUUUGGAAGGAUUAGGAAGGAAUGUACUUCCAGAAUAAGUCUCGGCUAACUACGUGCCAGCAGCCGCGGUAACACGUAGGAGGCAAACGUUAUCCGGAUUUACUGGGCGUAAAGCGCGUGUAGGUGGUUCUGUAAGUAGGGCGUGAAAGCUCCUGGCUCAACUGGGAGAGGCCGUUCUAAACUGCAGGGCUAGAGGAUGGUAGAGGGAGGUGGAAUUCCGGGUGUAGCGGUGGAAUGCGCAGAUAUCCGGAGGAACACCAGUGGCGAAAGCGGCCUCCUGGACCAUUACUGACACUCAGACGCGAAAGCUAGGGGAGCAAACG